This is a long non-coding RNA of Canis lupus familiaris (dog), 659 nucleotides long. RefSeq lists it as uncharacterized. The transcript has 5 exons. The record is from RefSeq and is a predicted model, not a curated record. Lineage: Eukaryota; Metazoa; Chordata; Mammalia; Carnivora; Canidae.
AGCCUUUGAGCUUUCAGCCAGACAAGGUUGAGACUGCCUGGAAAUACUAACUUGAGAGGAAUGUGGGCUGCUAUUUAAAUACACCUAAAAAAAAAAUCGACUUUGAGUUCCCUUAAGGAGACUGUGGCCCUUGCUCUCCUUGGGAGAUUAUUAGAGGGGCAGAUAAUCCACUGGUAAGUGCAUGACCCUUGGAGCUGCCUAGAUAAAGAAUGUGAGGAAAAUUGGCUCUUCCUUGGUCUUGAGCUUGCCAAUAUUUGGGCUGGAACUAUCAGCUGUCCUGGUUCUCAGACCUUUGGAGUUGGACUGGAGCUACAUCAUCAGCUCUUCUGGGUCUCUAGCCUGCCAGUUACAGAUCUUGGGACUGUCAGCCUGUGACAUCUGACUGCCUUCUUGCUGGGGCCUCAUGUGACAGAGAGAAAGCAAGCUGUCUGGUGUCUCUUCUUAGAAUGACAAUCCUAUUGGAUCAGGACCCUACUCUCAUGAUUUUAUUUCUGUAAAGGCCCAUCUCCAAGUAUGGUCACAUUGGGAGUUAGCACCGUAACAUAUGAUUUUGGAGGUCAUACAGUUCAAUCCAUAGUGCAGUCUACAUGGACUCAAUUUCAAGGCUGGGAUCAUGACCUGAAUCAUGACCUGACUGAAGGUAGAUGCUUAACUGACUG